GCAUAUCAAUAAGCGGAGGAAAAGAAACCAACAGGGAUUGCCCUAGUAACGGCGAGUGAAGCGGCAACAGCUCAAAUUUGAAAUCUGGCUUCGGCCCGAGUUGUAAUUUGUAGAGGAUGCUUUGGGCGCGGCUCUAACUGAGUUCCCUGGAACGGGACGCCACAGAGGGUGAGAGCCCCGUAUAGUUAGAUGCCUAGCCUAUGUAAAGCUCCUUCGACGAGUCGAGUAGUUUGGGAAUGCUGCUCUAAAUGGGAGGUAAAUUUCUUCUAAAGCUAAAUAUUGGCCAGAGACCGAUAGCGCACAAGUAGAGUGAUCGAAAGAUGAAAAGCACUUUGAAAAGAGGGUUAAAUAGCACGUGAAAUUGUUGAAAGGGAAGCGCUUGUGACCAGACUUGCGCCGGGCAGAUCAUCCGGUGUUCUCACCGGUGCACUCUGCCCGGCUCAGGCCAGCAUCGGUUCUCGUGGGGGGAUAAAGGUCCCGGGAACGUAGCUCCUCCGGGAGUGUUAUAGCCCGGGGCGUAAUGCCCUCGUGGGGACCGAGGUUCGCGCAUCUGCAAGGAUGCUGGCGUAAUGGUCAUCAGCGACCCGUCUUGAAACACGGACCAAGGAGUCAAGGUUUUGCGCGAGUGUUUGGGUGUAAAACCCGCACGCGUAAUGAAAGUGAACGUAGGUGAGAGCUUCGGCGCAUCAUCGACCGAUCCUGAUGUAUUCGGAUGGAUUUGAGUAAGAGCGUUAAGCCUUGGACCCGAAAGAUGGUGAACUAUGCUUGGAUAGGGUGAAGCCAGAGGAAACUCUGGUGGAGGCUCGCAGCGGUUCUGACGUGCAAAUCGAUCGUCAAAUCUGAGCAUGGGGGCGAAAGACUAAUCGAACCAUCUAGUAGCUGGUUACCGCCGAA
Molecule: ribosomal RNA, 894 nt
Filed under: Trichocladium crispatum
Lineage: Eukaryota; Fungi; Ascomycota; Sordariomycetes; Sordariales; Chaetomiaceae
Description: LSU rRNA
Rfam family: Eukaryotic large subunit ribosomal RNA
Source: RNAcentral